GUGGAGAUGCACAGACAACUAGGAGGUUGGCUUAGAAGCAGCCAUCCUUUAAAGAAAGCGUAAUAGCUCACUGAUCUAAAUAAGACGUCCUGCGCCGAAGAUGUAACGGGGCUAAAGCCAUAUACCGAAGUUACGGGAUUGUAUUGCAAUAGAUACAAUCGGUAGCGGAGCGUUCUGUAGGCCUGCGAAGGUGAACCGUAAGGUUUGCUGGAGGUAUCAGAAGUGAGAAUGCUGACAUGAGUAGCGAAAAGAAGUGUGAGAGACACUUCCGCUGAAAGUCCAAGGUUUCCUGCGUAAAGCUAAUCUGCGCAGGGUUAGUCGGCCCCUAAGGCGAGGCAGAGAUGCGUAGCUGAUGGGAACACGGUUAAUAUUCCGUGACCAGUUAGGAAGUGACGGAUACAGUAGUUUGUACAUGCUUAAUGGAUUGUGUGUGCAAGUGAUGUGUCCCGGGAAAUAGCCCUAACGAAGACCGUACCCGAAACCGACACAGGUGGACAGGUAGAGUAUACCAAAGCGCUUGAGAGAACUAUGUUGAAGGAACUAGGCAAAAUGCUUGUGUAACUUCGGGAUAAGCAAGCCCGGUUUUAAGGCAACUUAAGGCCGGGGGCACAUACUAGGGGGUAGCGACUGUUUAACAAAAACACAGGACUCUGCGAAAUUGAAAGAUGAAGUAUAGGGUCUGACGCCUGCCCGGUGCCGGAAGGUCACGCGGAGGAGUUAGCCGUUAAGGCGAAGCCCCGAAGCCAAGCCCCGGUAAACGGCGGCCGUAACUAUAACGGUCCUAAGGUAGCGAAAUUCCUUGUCGGGUAAGUUCCGACCUGCACGAAUGGCGUAACGACUUCCCCGCUGUCUCCAACAUAGGCUCAGCGAAAUUGAAUUCUGAGUUAAGAUGCUCAGUACCCGCGGUUAGACGGAAAGACCCCGUGAACCUUUACUAUAGCUUGACACUGAACAUUGAAUUUUGAUGUGUAGGAUAGGUGGGAGACUAUGAAGUAGUCACGCCAGUGAUUAUGGAGUCGUCCUUGAAAUACCACCCUUUAACGUUUGAUGUUCUAACGAAGAUUACGAAACGUGGUCUCGGACAGUGUCUGGUGGGUAGUUUGACUGGGGCGGUCUCCUCCCAAAGAGUAACGGAGGAGCACGAAGGUUUGCUAAUGACGGUCGGACAUCGUCAGGUUAGUGCAAUGGUAUAAGCAAGCUUAACUGCGAGACAGACAAGUCGAGCAGGUACGAAAGUAGGUCAUAGUGAUCCGGUGGUUCUGAAUGGAAGGGCCAUCGCUCAACGGAUAAAAGGUACUCCGGGGAUAACAGGCUGAUACCGCCCAAGAGUUCAUAUCGACGGCGGUGUUUGGCAC
This 1355-nucleotide ribosomal RNA is filed under the name human gut metagenome. Its description in RNAcentral is "bacterial LSU rRNA". It matches the Rfam family "Bacterial large subunit ribosomal RNA", at positions 1075 to 2524 of the family's 2925-position model. The record is from RNAcentral.